Molecule: ribosomal RNA, 700 nt
Filed under: uncultured bacterium
Lineage: Bacteria
Description: bacterial SSU rRNA
Rfam family: Bacterial small subunit ribosomal RNA
Source: RNAcentral
GGCGGACGGGUGAGUAACGCGUGGGUAACCUGGCCCAUACAGGGGGAUAACCCGGCGAAAGUCGGACUAAUACCGCAUGAAGCAGGGGCCCCGCAUGGGGAUAUUUGCUAAAGAUUCAUCGCUGAUAGAUAGGCAUGCGUUCCAUUAGGCAGUUGGCGGGGUAACGGCCCACCAAACCGACGAUGGAUAGGGGUUCUGAGAGGAAGGUCCCCCACAUUGGUACUGAGACACGGACCAAACUCCUACGGGAGGCAGCAGUGAGGAAUAUUGGUCAAUGGGCGUAAGCCUGAACCAGCCAAGUCGCGUGAGGGAUGAAGGUUCUAUGGAUCGUAAACCUCUUUUAUAAGGGAAUAAAGUGUGGGACGUGUCCUGUUUUGUAUGUACCUUAUGAAUAAGGAUCGGCUAACUCCGUGCCAGCAGCCGCGGUAAUACGGAGGAUCCGAGCGUUAUCCGGAUUUAUUGGGUUUAAAGGGUGCGUAGGCGGCCUUUUAAGUCAGCGGUGAAAGUCUGUGGCUCAACCAUAGAAUUGCCGUUGAAACUGGGAGGCUUGAGUAUGUUUGAGGCAGGCGGAAUGCGUGGUGUAGCGGUGAAAUGCUUAGAUAUCACGCAGAACCCCGAUUGCGAAGGCAGCCUGCCAAGCCAUGACUGACGCUGAUGCACGAAAGCGUGGGGAUCAAACAGGAUUAGAUACCCUGGUAGU